UCCAUUUUCAUCAUAAAUUUCAAACUUAAGGGAAAAAUAUAUGAAAAUUAGAAGUGUCGUUUUCGGCGAAGUGUUGGAUUCGACCAUGUUUCAUGUUCGGCGAAGUGUUGGAUUCGACCAUGUUUCAUGUUCGGCGAAGCGAUCGAGAACACGUAAUCACACGAAAAUUGCCGAAUGUCAGUUCCACUCAUUAAGUACCAAACAGUUGAUUUUUUUUUAUUUCGAUGACUUAUCAGAAGUCCAUUGAACCACAUUUGUCAUUUUCAAGACUUUGUCAACAAAUAUAUAUAUAUAACGUUAUAAUAGUCAUAUAAAACACGUCUGAUGAACCAAAACUUAUGCUAUGAAUAUUUAGAAGUAAACAUUUAACAUCAUGAUAAGUACAGGGUGUAGGCUGAGUGUUAAACGGUAAACAUGGUAAACAAAAAAUAACUCACUUCUGCCAAAGUGUUAUAAGUCAGUAUUUUUCUGUAAUUUGUUUUACUGAAAUAAGAAAUAAAAUAAUGUAGAGAAGUGAUGCUGCUGAUAGAUAACCUACACACUUUCGUAUGCUUUGAAAAUAUUCUAAACAUUUCGUUACCAAACAUUUUUGUCAUGGAAAUGUCGUCUGCUUCGAAUACAGUGUCUGCUUUGUAAAUUUUCAAUAUAAUGUUACAGGUAUAGAAUUUAAUCAAUUGUCACAUCAUAUGAUUCACAUAAAACUUUAGAUGAAUGUUCUAGUUUUACUCUGACUUUGUAAUCCUUUCAUUCUCAAAUUUCAAAAGAACCAAUUAUCUUUUCUGGGAUAUGUGUAUUCAAUUUGUCCUAUGAUAUCACGUGCUUAUUGGUCAUGAUAGAAAUGCUGUUUUCUCAAACAAAAAUUAAAUGAGAAGUCACAUGAAUGUAAUAUUAAUACAUUCAGUGAAUAGAUCCUUUGAAAACAUAGAACGCAACCUAGCAACAUAAUAGCAGAUUCUGUUGAAGUGAGUCUGUUCAUGAGAGGUUCUGUAAUGUGUAAAACAACUCACGUCACCUGGCACCGGCUUAUUAUAAAAGCGGAAUUCUAUUACAGUAAAAAUGGGUGUACACUAUGAUCCCAGAAGACAAGAAAAUAUCCAAGUAUGGAACUCACGUUAAUGAUGUACUUUGAACAGGAACGUGUUUUGAGCACUAACUUAAAGGUAGUUCGUACUUUGCCUUGAAUACUUGGUGGCACUGUUUGUAAGUCUAUCCAAUAAGAUGUCUUCAAGCUUAUAAAGGGCUGUUCUAUACGUCCUGUGACGUCAUUCAUAGUUUUGAGAUUUUCCUUUUAUCCCAUCAUGUAGAUCUCGAUUUAAGGCGUCACGACUAUUUCUACGAAUGUUAUAAAAUUCGGCCUUCAUUAAGUAUUUAAUACACGACACUUGUUAAUGGACUGGAAAGCCAGACAUGAAAAACAAUGGUAACGCAGUUAAAAUCUCCCAUGUUUUUAAUUCAGCUUCAGACAGUAAGGUCAGGAAAGACAACUCUUUGAAAACGAUUCUCAAUUUACAUAUACGCCAGUCAACUAUGAAAAACAAGGAAUGCCGGGUAACAUCAAUUCUCUGACAAUCUUAUGGAAUUAUAAUUUUUCUCUAACAACCAUAUCGGAGAGAACAGAACACGGCGCAUCUUUUGUCGAGGUUGUUGGUUUUAAAAUAUUUUCAAUCUGAAUAUCAUCAGACUUCCAAAAUGAAAGUCGCGUUUGUCUGUUUUUGCCUAAUAUGGUUGGUAGCAGCAAUGACUGUUGCCAAACCUGCUAAACUUGCAAAAAACAACCCUGAGGAAACUAUGAGCCAAGCUGAUCUUGAGAAGCUCAGAAAUCAAAUGCCAAACUGGAAUAUAGAAGGACUCUAUCCACCCUUUCUUCCGAGAGUGCGAAAUAUUGAACAACCUAAGCGGCGGUCACAAAAAAUCAAGAUCAAAACGAAGCAGUCCAGAAGGAAUAGACGUUCAGUAGUAGAUACUCUAUAGCGGCGGAGACGUUGAGAAUUGUGAAAUUGAGACAGUGUUAAAUUCUUAUUUCUAAAGACUCGUAUAACUUUUUUAUGGCUUUAUCAAUUUAUUGCAUUAUUUUAUAGAUUUUGUAUUGUUCUUUAGAUCAUAAGUACGUCGGUAUGCCUGUAUUGUACAUCUACUAUUUUAUUUAUGAAUAUGCUUCAAGUUAAGAUCUUAAAUGUAUGAAUAACUUCUUUCUGCAGAUUAUUGUUUUGCUAUUAAUACUGUAAAUGUUGUCUGUUCUUACUCGAAUCUAUAUAUGAAAUUUA
This is a long non-coding RNA of Mercenaria mercenaria, 2264 nucleotides long. RefSeq lists it as uncharacterized. Lineage: Eukaryota; Metazoa; Mollusca; Bivalvia; Venerida; Veneridae. The record is from RefSeq and is a predicted model, not a curated record. The transcript has 4 exons.